GACGAACGCUGGCGGCGCGCCUAACACAUGCAAGUCGAGCGAUGAAAUUUUAACCGAUCUCUUCGGAGAGAAGAUAAACUGGAUUAGCGGCGGACGGGUGAGUAACACGUGAGAAACCUGCCUUUCACAAGGGGAUAGCCUCGGGAAACCGGGAUUAAUACCCUAUGACACAUUUCCUUCGCAUGGAAGAAAUGUUAAAACUCCGGUGGUGAAAGAUGGUCUCGCGCCUGAUUAGCUAGUUGGUGGGGUAACGGCCCACCAAGGCCAUGAUCAGUAACCGGCCUGAGAGGGUGAACGGUCACAUUGGAACUGAGACACGGUCCAAACUCCUACGGGAGGCAGCAGUGGGGAAUAUUGCACAAUGGAGGAAACUCUGAUGCAGCGACGCCGCGUGAGCGAUGAAGGCUUUCGAGUCGUAAAGCUCUGUCCUAUGGGAAGAUAAUGACGGUACCAUAGGAGGAAGCCCCGGCUAACUACGUG
RNAcentral lists this ribosomal RNA (480 nucleotides) under uncultured bacterium. RNAcentral's name for it is "partial 16S ribosomal RNA". It matches the Rfam family "Bacterial small subunit ribosomal RNA", at positions 28 to 507 of the family's 1533-position model. The record is from RNAcentral.